This 492-nucleotide ribosomal RNA is filed under the name uncultured bacterium. Its description in RNAcentral is "partial 16S ribosomal RNA". It matches the Rfam family "Bacterial small subunit ribosomal RNA", at positions 29 to 507 of the family's 1533-position model. The record is from RNAcentral.
AGUGAACGCUGGCGGUAGGCCUAACACAUGCAAGUCGAACGGCAGCACAGUAAGAGCUUGCUCUUACGGGUGGCGAGUGGCGGACGAGUGAGGAAUACAUCGGAAUCUACUUUUUCGUGGGGGAUAACGUAGGGAAACUUACGCUAAUGCCGCAUACGACCUACGGGUGAAAGCAGGGGAUCUUCGGACCUUGCGCGAUUGAAUGAGCCGAUGUCGGAUUAGCUAGUUGGCGGGGUAAAGGCCCACCAAGGCGACGAUCCGUAGCUGGUCUGAGAGGAUGAUCAGCCACACUGGAACUGAGACACGGUCCAGACUCCUACGGGAGGCAGUAGUGGGGAAUAUUGGACAAUGGGCGCAAGCCUGAUCCAGCCAUACCGCGUGGGUGAAGAAGGCCUUCGGGUUGUAAAGCCCUUUUGUUGGGAAAGAAAAGCAGCAGGUUAAUACCCCGCUGUUCUGACGGUACCCAAAGAAUAAGCACCGGCUAACUUCGUG